Cebus imitator (Panamanian white-faced capuchin) is the source of this 2061-nucleotide long non-coding RNA. RefSeq lists it as uncharacterized. Lineage: Eukaryota; Metazoa; Chordata; Mammalia; Primates; Cebidae. The transcript is spliced from 3 exons. The record is from RefSeq and is a predicted model, not a curated record.
GAGAGAGAGAGAGGGGCGCAACAGCCGCAAACAGUCUCCUAGACGUAGGGUUACACUGAUGGACCCAAUUGUAGGGCUUCUGCACUGAGUCCUGCCCCUCUGCCUUUCCUGCCAUCCCAGGUCCCUUCCCCUCCUGAAGCAGCAGUCUCUUCCAUCUCCCUCUCUGGUCUUUUCUCCCCACCCCUUUCCUCUGCACCUAACCUCCUCCCCUCCAUCUAACCCCACCUUCACUCUCUUCUCCGAGCGGGGAGGGCUAGGGGGUGGGGAAAGAAAACCCCCAAAUCCCCAGCCCUGGGCAGAGAUGUCGAAGAAACGCAAAGCCCUCGAGGGUGGAGGAGGUGGCGGAGAACCCCAGCUCCCAGAGGAGGAACCCACUGCCUGGUUUGGGGACAGCAGCGAGGAGCAAGUUCUUUAAGUUAGAAGUUCGACACAGGCCUCACUGGGCUAAACUCAAGGUAUCGGCAGGGUGGUUUCUUUUGGAGGCUUCAGGGGAGAGUCCGUCUCCACUUUUCCAGCUUCUUGAGGCCGUCUGCAUUCCUGGGCUUGUGGCCCUGCUCCAUCUUCCAAGCCAGCCACAGCAGAUUGAGUUCCUCUUACUCAGCAUUACCCUGACCUCCUCUUCUGCAGACAAGCCUUCCUCGUCCUCCCUCUUCUGUCUCUACCUUUGUCUCUACCUGGGGCUCACCAAGCUCGUCCAGGGUAGCCUCCCGUCUUUAGAUCCCUAAGUUAAUCAUCACGUCUGCAAUGUCUUUUUUGCCAUGUGAGGUAGCAUAGUCAUAGGUUCCAGAGUUUCGGUUGUGGACAUCUUUGCUGGGGCAUCAUUCUGCCCGACCACAAGCAUGUACCCCGCACUCACCGUGGGCGGCAGUUAGUUGGUAUGUGCUUUAUUUCUCCAUCUGUAAACCGCUGAUGAAGAAUGUGAUUUCUUCUCUCUACCAGAUUCACCUACCCUGAUCCCAGUGUCUUAGUCUGUACAGUGUGACCAUAACAGAAUGCCUGGGACUGGGUAUUUAAUUUAAAAAAAUAGAUUUAUUUAGGUCACAGUUCUGCAGGCUGGGAGGCUCAAGGGCAUGGCCCUUGCUUCUGGCAAGGCUAGGGCUUUUGUGGUGCUGCGUCAAAACACGGUGGAGAAGGUCAAAGGAGAAGUGGACAAGAGCAAAGAGAGGACCCAAGGGCCUCCUGGCUCUGUAAAAAGCCACUCGCAUGCGACUGUUCCAUUCCAUGGGGAACCAACUCAGUCUCACCAAAGUGAGCCCUUACUUCUGUGAGAACAGUGCUGGGCCAUUCAUGAUGGAUCUGUAUCAAUGAUUCCAACACUCCCCACUAGGCCCCACCUCCCAGCACCUCCACUAGGGGGACCAAAUUUCAUCAGGGGUGUGGCAGGGACAAAGCAACCAUAUCCACACCAUAGCACCAGUCUGGGGGCUGGAUGCACCUAAAAAGGGAACAAAAAGCCCAGAGUUUAUCCAUCCAGCAGUCAAAUACCAAAUAGAUCCAAAAAGUUGGACGAUGGCGAAGAACAGGCUGAAAGCAUUGAGGCGGUCAGACCUCAGGCAAAUUCAAGGCCAAUAGCUGGCACCAUGGUGGGAAGAUGAAGCUUUGCAUAAACAUAAGUUCAAUCAUUAUUUAUCGUGUAAGGACUUGGUAACUGAAAAAGUGCAAAGACGGUCCAAACCUCCUAGAUGAUGCUUCCUUGCAGGGUGAACUUUGGUAAACACUGGGGGAUGGAGAAGAGGGGAGUCUGCCUUCCAGGCCUGUCAGUUGCUCUUACUUGUCCUGAGAACACAGGGUCUGAUAGAGCAUUUGUUGGUCGUCUGCAUGGCUGUGACAUUUUACUUUAUUAUUUCUACCUACCACUUUUAUAAGUAUUUUUUUUCUCUAUAAAACAGGCUUUUAUAUAACAUUUGGAAUACAUAGCAUUACAAAUUAAUCACAUUAAAAAUUUACUCUCUGUUCCCUUAUGAUACAUUUAUUUUGAUAUGGUGUGAAGAUAAUCAUUACAAUCUGUGUUAAUUACUUUACACACUGGCAUUCACUAAACAUGAAAAUUUUCAAUGUUUG